This is a long non-coding RNA of Diorhabda sublineata, 727 nucleotides long. RefSeq lists it as uncharacterized. The record is from RefSeq and is a predicted model, not a curated record. The transcript is spliced from 2 exons. Lineage: Eukaryota; Metazoa; Arthropoda; Insecta; Coleoptera; Chrysomelidae.
GUUCGCCAAUAGGAUUGAUCAAUCCCAUAAGACGUACAUACGCCAAUUCUUGAGCCAAGGUCAAGUGAUGCUUACGUCACCUGCAGACCUCGACGGCUUGUUUACCAUUUACGCUGUGCGGUAUUGCUUGUGUUUUUGUUAAUUCGAAAAGGUCGUACAAGUGAUUGAAGAGUUGGAAAUUCGUUUUUUACUUAGUUCUACGUUUUAAAAACUAUUAUUUGUGUGUAUUAUAUAUGUGGAGAAUAGUGAACAAAGACAAUAUUAUUGUUUAAGGCAAAAUAAUCUUGUGAGACUUUCAAGGUGCAUGUAGUAUAUGUCCAAAAAUCAAAAUGCCUGGUACACGUUGUGCUGUGUAUGGUUGUGGUAAUACCUAUAAAACAAGGCAGCAAGAACAUGAAUAUUUUAUAUUUCAUCGGUUUCCCAAAGCUAAAGAUCUUGUUUCCCAAACUAUGAGAAAAGAAUGGAUAUUACGAUGCAAACGGGAAGAUAAAUUUAACCCUGAUACUAGCUACAUCUGCUCAGUUCAUUUCACAGAAAAGGAUUAUGAAAGAGACUUACAGAAUGAAUUAUUAGGUUGGUGAAUUAUUUAAUUGUUUAGUGUAAUAGUUUAUAGCUUUCAAAGUCUAUACUGUCCCAAAAUGAUUUUGGUAAUGAAAUUUAGUAACUCAAUUUGUUCAUAAAUAUAUAUAAUAUGUAUAUGUAUUUUAGGUUUACCACUACGAAAAAU